RNAcentral lists this transfer RNA (69 nucleotides) under Odontocimbex svenhedini. RNAcentral describes it as "tRNA-Leu". The record is from RNAcentral. Lineage: Eukaryota; Metazoa; Arthropoda; Insecta; Hymenoptera; Cimbicidae.
UCUAAUAUGGCAGACUAGUGCAAUGGCUUUAAGAUCCAUUUAUAAAGAACUCAAAAUCUUUUUUUAGAA